Molecule: unclassified non-coding RNA, 481 nt
Filed under: Hevea brasiliensis (rubber tree)
Lineage: Eukaryota; Viridiplantae; Streptophyta; Magnoliopsida; Malpighiales; Euphorbiaceae
Source: RNAcentral
CGUGUGCACUGGACUGACCACCUUGAUCUCCUCAAGGCGUUUGGGCUGGUCAACCUUUGUGUCCACAGUAACUUGGGACGAUGGACGUGGCGGAACUUGUUCGGUCAUCACGACUUCACUAUACGUCUUGGUCUGUUCGGUCAACUUCUCCGGUAUCUUACGUUUGCCGGGAGCGAAUUCGACUUCGACCUCAGUAGAGGAUAGGUCAUUGUCUUCCACGCUACGCACAAGCGUUGUUGGCUUGACGCGCUCCUUCUUCCCAGAGCAAGCCCCGGGAUUUGGGCCGGAGCACGGAUGCGCUUGCACGUAUCGAACGUAGAUUUGGUAAUGCUCGUAAUACAACUUCCAAUCCACCCCGUAUGCCCUCAAGUCUGGGGGCAAAAGUGGUUCAAGGCAACGUUUUGUAUCUGCUGAUUUAAACAUUGCGGUUGCUUUUGCUUUUGCUUUUGCUUUUGCUUAUUGCUGUUGCUGUUGUGCCGCC